This 879-nucleotide long non-coding RNA is filed under the name Pan troglodytes (chimpanzee). Its description in RNAcentral is "long non-coding RNA NONPTRT005904". Lineage: Eukaryota; Metazoa; Chordata; Mammalia; Primates; Hominidae. The record is from RNAcentral.
GGGCAGGGCCAGGAUAGGGCGAUCCUGGAAGCUGGGCUUCAGAAGCGUCCAGGCAGGAAUCGGAGUGCUGUAGCACAAUCACAGCUCACUGCAGCCUCAAACUCCUGGGUUCCAGCGAUCCUCCCGCCUCAGCCUCCCCAGUAGCUGCGACUACAGGCAUGUGACACUACACCCAGCCCAGUAAAGGCACCAUUCCCCAUUUUACAGCUGGAGAAACUGAGUUACAGAGCUUGUUUGCAUUGAGUCAACAGGAGCAAAUGCUAGAUCAGUGGUCAUCCCAUGGUCUCAUGUGAUGAUGACGCUGAGGUGCUCUGCAGGCUGUGCUUCUCUGUGGCUCCCACCAGAUACCCGAUGGUCCUGUCGAUUUGCUGAAUCAUCAACUUCCUGUUCUCUGCUUCUGGCCCGAAUCGAUGUCCCACGUUAUCUGGCUCUCUGUAGCACAGAGUCACAAAGUCAAAGUCUUCCUUGGUGAACCAGUUCACAAUGGUAUCGAAGUUCUCCCUCCACUCUGUCUCGCUGCUGUUUGGCUGUCAGAGAAAGGAAAUGAAGCAGUGAAAGCAUCCUCCCAAAAGGGACUUUUAAAUCCUUCUACCUGGGCUGAACUACAGAGAAAAGGAAGCCAUUCUCACAGAAAGAUCUAUGGGAUCACAGAGUGGAGGGGACCUGAGCCCCAUGUCAUGGGACAAGCCCUGGGAAGAUGGCACCAUUCCCAAGACACAUGAGUUCUAUCGUUUGCCACCAUUUCCACUGCCUGGACCAAAGCAGAUGCUCAAAGAGUAUUCCCCGAGUGAAAGGAGGAAUACAGCAUCGGCCCUUUCAAAGAACUCUCCAGGAAGACUUUCCUUCAUCAGCAGCAGGGAAACCUAAUGAGGGUCAUAU